Molecule: transfer RNA, 95 nt
Filed under: Opitutaceae bacterium
Lineage: Bacteria; Pseudomonadati; Verrucomicrobiota; Opitutia; Opitutales; Opitutaceae
Description: tRNA-OTHER
Rfam family: tRNA
About the family: Transfer RNA (tRNA) molecules are approximately 80 nucleotides in length. Their secondary structure includes four short double-helical elements and three loops (D, anti-codon, and T loops).
Source: RNAcentral
GGAGAGGUGGCUGAGUGGUUUAAGGCAGCGGUCCGCAAGGACUGCUAUGUGGUUAAUAGCCGCAUCGGAGGUUCGAAUCCUUCCCCUCUCCGCCA